CCGGUUUGAUAAAUCUUUUGUGAAAUUGUAUAGCUUAACUAUACAGCGUGCAAGAGACACUGUCAAACUCGAGACCGGGAGGAGUCAGAAGUAUUCCAGAGGGAGCGGUAAAAUGUUAUAAUCUCUGGAGGACUACCUGUGGCGAAGGCGUCUGACCAGAACGGAUCUGACGGUGAGGGACGAAAGCUAGGGGAGCGAACCGGAUUAGAUACCCGAGUAGUCCUAGCCGUAAACGCUGUGAGCUAGGUGUUGCGCCAGCUACAUGUUGGUGCAGUGUCGAAAUGAAGAUGUUAAGCUCACCGCCUGGGAAGUACGGUCGCAAGACUGAAACUUUAAGGAAUUGGCGGGGGAGCACCACAAGGGGUGCGGCGUGCGGUUUAAUCUAACUCAACGCAGAGAACCUUACUAGAAGCGACGGCAGAAUGAAGAUCAGCUUGAAGAGCUUAUCUGACAAGCCGAGAGGUGGUGCAUGGCCGCCGUCAGCUCGUGCUGUGAAGUGUCCUCUUAAGUGAGGCAACGAGCGAGACCUGUAUUCGCAAUUGCUAACAGCAACAUGUUGGACAGAGCACUUUGCGAAGACUGCCUUGGAAACAAGGAGGAAGGUGCAGGCUACGGUAGGUCUGUAUGCCCCGAAUCUUCUAGGCUACACGCGCGCAACAAUGGUUGGGACAAUGGGAUGCAACUCCGAAAGGGGAAGCUAAACCUCUAAACCCAAUCCAAGUCCAGGUUGAGGCUUGCAACUCAGCCUCAUGACGACGGAAUCCCUAGUAAUCAGAAGUCAUCAUCUUCUGGUGAAUAUGUCCCUGCUCCUUGCACUCACCGC
RNAcentral lists this ribosomal RNA (823 nucleotides) under uncultured archaeon. RNAcentral's name for it is "bacterial SSU rRNA". It matches the Rfam family "Archaeal small subunit ribosomal RNA", at positions 525 to 1349 of the family's 1478-position model. The record is from RNAcentral.